AGCAGCCGCGGUAAUUCCAGCUCCAAUAGCGUAUAUUAAAGUUGUUGCAGUUAAAAAGCUCGUAGUUGAAUUUCGGGAUCAAUACGUCGGUCGUGCUUCGGUACGUACUGGCGUCAUUGAUUUCUCCCUUCUGAAGAACCAUGAUGUCAUUAACUUGGUGUCAUGGGAAAUCAGGACUGUUACUUUGAAAAAAUUAGAGUGUUUAAAGCAGGCUCACGCUUGAAUACAUUAGCAUGGAAUAAUGAAAUAGGACGUUCGAUCCUAUUUUGUUGGUUUCUAGGAUUGACGUAAUGAUUAAUAGGGAUAGUUGGGGGCAUUAGUAUUCAAUUGUCAGAGGUGAAAUUCUUGGAUUUAUUGAAGACUAACUACUGCGAAAGCAUCUGCCAAGGAUGUUUUCAUUGAUCAAGAACGAAAGUUAGGGGAUCGAAGACGAUCAGAUACCGUCGUAGUCUUAACCAUAAACUAUGCCGACUAGGGAUCGGAUGAUGUUAUUUUUAAUGUACU
This 504-nucleotide ribosomal RNA is filed under the name uncultured Glomus. Its description in RNAcentral is "SSU rRNA". It matches the Rfam family "Eukaryotic small subunit ribosomal RNA", at positions 569 to 1076 of the family's 1831-position model. The record is from RNAcentral. Lineage: Eukaryota; Fungi; Glomeromycota; Glomeromycetes; Glomerales; Glomeraceae.